ACAGAGGUCCCAAGCGUUGUUCGGAUUCACUGGGCGUAAAGGGUGCGUAGGUGGCGGGGUAAGUUUGAUGUGAAAUCUCCAAGCUCAACUUGGAAAUGGCAUUGAAUACUCUCCCGCUAGAGGGUCGGAGGGGAGACUGGAAUUCUCGGUGUAGCAGUGAAAUGCGUAGAUAUCGAGAGGAACACCAGUGGCGAAGGCGAGUCUCUGGACGACUCCUGACACUGAGGCACGAAAGCUAGGGGAGCAAACAGGAUUAGAUACCCUGGUAGUCCUAGCUGUAAACGGUGCACAUUUGCUGUGAACGGAUUCGACCCCGUUCGUGGCGUAGCUAACGCGUUAAAUGUGCCGCCUGGGAAGUACGGUCGCAAGAUUA
Molecule: ribosomal RNA, 373 nt
Filed under: uncultured bacterium
Lineage: Bacteria
Description: bacterial SSU rRNA
Rfam family: Bacterial small subunit ribosomal RNA
Source: RNAcentral